UGGGGGAUAUUGCGCAAUGGGAGAAACCCUGACGCAGCAACGCCGCGUGAAGGACGAAGGUUUUCGGAUCGUAAACUUCUUUGACCGGGGACGAAUAAAUGACGGUACCCGGGGAACAAGCCACGGCUAACUACGUGCCAGCAGCCGCGGUAAUACGUAGGUGGCGAGCGUUGUCCGGAUUUACUGGGCGGAAAGGGCGCGUAGGCGGGGCGGCAAGUCCGAUGUGAAAUCCCGCGGCUUAACUGCGGAACUGCAUCGGAAACUGCCGUCCUUGAGUAUCAGAGGGGAAAGCGGAAUUCCUAGUGUAGCGGUGAAAUGCGUAGAUAUUAGGAGGAACACCGGUGGCGAAGGCGGCUUUCUGGCUGAAAACUGACGCUGAUGCGCGAAAGCGUGGGGAGCAAACAGG
Molecule: ribosomal RNA, 406 nt
Filed under: uncultured prokaryote
Also listed under: 1 other name
Description: bacterial SSU rRNA
Rfam family: Bacterial small subunit ribosomal RNA
Source: RNAcentral